This 254-nucleotide ribosomal RNA is filed under the name uncultured bacterium. RNAcentral describes it as "partial 16S ribosomal RNA". It matches the Rfam family "Bacterial small subunit ribosomal RNA", at positions 524 to 776 of the family's 1533-position model. The record is from RNAcentral.
UACGUAGGUGGCGAGCGUUGUCCGGAUUUACUGGGCGUAAAGGGCGUGCAGGCGGUUUGUUAAGUGCAGGGUGAAAGCUCCCGGCUCAACUGGGAGAGGUCCUUGCAUACUGGCGAACUCGAGGGAGGCAGAGGAAAGUGGAAUUCCCGGUGUAGUGGUGGAAUGCGUAGAGAUCGGGAGGAACACCAGUGGCGAAGGCGGCUCUCUGGACCCUUGCCUGACGCUGAGGCGCGAAAGCGUGGGGAGCGAUCCGG